Molecule: ribosomal RNA, 398 nt
Filed under: uncultured bacterium
Lineage: Bacteria
Description: bacterial SSU rRNA
Rfam family: Bacterial small subunit ribosomal RNA
Source: RNAcentral
GGAAUAUUGCACAAUGGGCGAAAGCCUGAUGCAGCGACGCCGCGUGAAGGAUGAAGUAUUUCGGUAUGUAAACUUCUAUCAGCAGGGAAGAAAAUGACGGUACCUGACUAAGAAGCCCCGGCUAACUACGUGCCAGCAGCCGCGGUAAUACGUAGGGGGCAAGCGUUAUCCGGAUUUACUGGGUGUAAAGGGAGCGUAGGCGGUCUGCCAAGGCUGAUGUGAAAACCCGGGGCUCAACCCCGGGAGUGCAUUGGAAACUGGCGGACUGGAGUGUCGGAGAGGUAAGCGGAAUUCCUAGUGUAGCGGUGAAAUGCGUAGAUAUUAGGAGGAACACCAGUGGCGAAGGCGGCUUACUGGACGAUAACUGACGCUGAGGCUCGAAAGCGUGGGGAGCAAAC